UCCUGGGGCUUCUCCACCAUGGCCUGGACCCCGCUCCUGCUCCCCCUCCUCACUCUCUGCACAGGUUUGGUGGCCUCUUCUGAAGUGACUCAGCCCUCAGCAGUGUCUGUGACCCUGGGACAAACGGCCAGGAUCACCUGCCAGGGGGAAGCUCUGAGAAACUAUUAUCCUACCUGGGUGCAGCAGAAGCCAGGCCAGGCCCCUGUAACAGUCAUCUAUGAUAACAACAAUCGACCCUCAGGGAUCCCAGAUCAAUUCUCUAUCUCAUACUCAGGGGACAUGAACACCCUGACCAUCAGUGGGGCCCGGGCUGAGGACGAGGCUGACUACUUCUGUGCGGUGAGGGAGAGUAGUAGUAACACUCACAGUGACACAGGCAGGUGGGGAAGUGAGACAAAAAACACUGAGUGCACCACACUCGCUUUCUGUCCAAAUAUGCCCAGAGACAAGGCCAUGAGCAGGUCUCACUCAGGCCCCAGGUGUGAGAUCCCCAUGCUGUCCCCUCCUCCCAGUUCUCAGCCAGCUCUGCAGAGGGUGGGACAGCAGUAAAUUCACUGCUGGCAGGACCAGGAUGUCCUGGGGAUUUCUAGGCCAGGGUGUGAGUAGGGACACAAGGCCUGAAUGAAAGGACACAGAGGGAGACAUCCACGCAGCAGUGAAGGACACUGCAUGUCCACGUGAUGGAGGCUGUGUCACUCACAGGCCCAC
Phyllostomus hastatus (greater spear-nosed bat) is the source of this 708-nucleotide non-coding RNA. The record is from the annotation of a RefSeq genome assembly. NCBI's taxonomy places the organism in Eukaryota, Metazoa, Chordata, Mammalia, Chiroptera, Phyllostomidae.